Molecule: non-coding RNA, 114 nt
Organism: Ilyonectria robusta
Lineage: Eukaryota; Fungi; Ascomycota; Sordariomycetes; Hypocreales; Nectriaceae
Source: the annotation of a RefSeq genome assembly
GUCCCCGUGGCCUAAUGGCUAAGGCGUCGGACUUCUAUGUUUUCCAACUCCUGAACAUGGACAUGGAAACGUUGUCUCAUCCGAAGAUUGCGGGUUCGACCCCCGCCGGGGAUU